This 402-nucleotide ribosomal RNA is filed under the name uncultured bacterium. RNAcentral describes it as "bacterial SSU rRNA". It matches the Rfam family "Bacterial small subunit ribosomal RNA", at positions 356 to 773 of the family's 1533-position model. The record is from RNAcentral.
GGGGAAUAUUGCGCAAUGGGCGAAAGCCUGACGCAGCCACGCCGCGUGUGUGACGAAGGCCCUCGGGUCGUAAAGCACUGUCGGGAGGAAAGAAGUUCUGACGGUACCUCCCAAGAAAGCACCGGCUAACUCCGUGCCAGCAGCCGCGGUAAUACGGAGGGUGCAAGCGUUGCUCGGAAUCACUGGGCGUAAAGCGUACGCAGGCGGCGCGUUAAGUCGGGUGUGAAAGCCCGGGGCUCAACCCCGGAAUUGCAUUCGAUACUGGCGUGCUGGAGUGCGGGAGAGGGAAGCGGAAUUCCUGGUGUAGAGGUGAAAUUCGUAGAUAUCAGGAGGAACAUCAGUGGCGAAAGCGGCUUCCUGGCCCGAUACUGACGCUCAUGUACGAAAGCGUGGGGAGCAAAC